RNAcentral lists this long non-coding RNA (8381 nucleotides) under Triticum aestivum (bread wheat). RNAcentral describes it as "long non-coding RNA (TAES_LNC010541)". The record is from RNAcentral. Lineage: Eukaryota; Viridiplantae; Streptophyta; Magnoliopsida; Poales; Poaceae.
AUGGACUCGUUCUUCUUCCUUGCGGGAUCUCAGGCAAGAAGAUCAUACCCUCGGAAUCACUUCUAUCUUUGCUUGCUAGUUGUUCAUUCUAUCGCUAAGUCGCGCUACCUACCACUUGGUAUACCAUGGCUCCCAUAUUGCCAUGUCAAGCCUCUAACCCACCUUCCUAGCAAACCGUUGUUUGGCUAUGUUACCGCUUUUGCUCAGCCCCUCUUAUAGCGUUGUUAGUUGUAGGUGAAGCUGAAGUUUGUUCCAUGUUGGAACAUGGAUAUGUUAGGAUAUGACAAUAUAUCUUAUUUAAUUAAUGCAUCUAUAUACUUGGUAAAGGGUGGAAGGCUCGGCCUUAUGCCCGGUGUAUUGUUCCACUCUUGUUGCCCUAGUUUCCGUCAUACCGGUGUUAUGUUCAUUGAUUUUGCGUUCCUUACAUGGUUGGGUGUUAUGGGAACCCCUUGACAGUUCGCUUUCAAUAAAACUCCUCCAGCAAGGCCCAACCUUGGUUUUACAUUUGCCUAACAACCUAUAACUUUCCCUUGGGUUUUCGCGAGCCCGAGGGUCAUCUUUAUUUUUACCCCCCGGGCCAGUGCUUCUCUAAGUGUUGGUCCGAACUGGGCGAUAUCCGGCGCCCCCAGGGCAACCAGGGUCUAUGCCAACCCGACGUCUUGCCCAUCUGGUGUGCCCUGAGAACGAGAUAUGUGCAGCUCCUAUCGGGAUUUGUCGGCACAUUUUGGCGGUCUUGCUAGUCUUGUUUUACCAUUGUCGAAAUGUCUUGUCGCCGGGAUUCCGAGACUGAUCGGGUCUUUUCGGGAGAAGGAAUAUCCUUCGUUGACCGUGAGAGCUUGUGAUGGGCUAAGUUGGGACACCCCUGCAGGGUUUAAAAUUUCAAAAGCCGUGCCCGCGGUUAUUUGGCAGAUGGGAAUUUGUUAAUGUCCGGUUGUAGAGAACUUGACGCUUGACUUAAUUAAAAUGCAUCAACCGUGUGUGUGAUGGUCUCUUUUCGACGGAGUCCGGGAAGUGAUCACGGUCUUGUGUUAUGCUUGAAUGUAAGUAGUUUCAGGAUCACUUCUUGAUCACUUCUAGCUUCUCGACCGUUGCGUUGCUUCUCUUCUCGCUCUUAUUUGCAUAUGUUAGCCACCAUAUAUGCUUAGUGCUUGCCGCAGCUCCACCUCCUUACCUUACGCUACCAAUAAGCUUAAAUAGUCUUGAUCUCGCGGGUGUGAGAUUGCUGAGUCCUCGUGACUCACAGAUUCUUUCAAACAGUUGUAGGUGCCGAUGAUACUAGUGCAGGUGACGCAACCGAGCUCAAGUGGGCGCUCUAUGAAGAUCUUGGUCAUUGUUAUUUGUCUUUUCGGAUGAUCAGUAGUGGUGCCCAGUUGGGACGAUCGGGGAUCUUGCAUUUGGAGUUGUCUUCUUUUAUUUUGGUUCCGUAGUCGGACCUUAAUUGUACUCUGUAUGAUGUAUGUUUAACUUGUUAUUUGUGUGAAGUGGCGAUUGUAAGCCAACUCUUUAUCCCUUUCUUAUUCAGUACAUGCGAUUGUGUGAAGAUUACCCCUCUUGCGACAAAACUACCAUGCGGCUAUGCCUCUAAGUCGUGCCCCGACACGUGGGAGAUGUAGCCGCAUUGUGGGUGUUACAAGUUGGUAAUCAGAGCCAUCCCCGACUUAGGAGCCCCCUACUUGAUCGAACCGUUGACGGUGUUGAGUCUAGAACAAAAUGUUUUGAGUCUUAGGAUUUUAUAUAUCGGAGAGUAGGAUUCUUUUUACUCCUCAGUCCCUUCGUCGCUCUGGUGAGGCCUCCUGACAUAGAAGUUUUGACUUUUCUCUCCUCAAAUUUCACUAUUUUUUUUAAGAUCAUGCGGGUAUCUUGGAAUCGUUCUGAUAUUCUUGUGACAAGAACAUUGUUCUUGGUGCCUCCUGACAUUUAGGGGUUGUGGCAGUGUCCCAGGGAGUUGAGCUCCGAGGUGUUGUCGUCACAAUUUUGUUGUUGCAGUUCUGGAAUACCUGAGCUCGCCGACAUUGAAAAUCUCUUUUAUGCAGUUGUUGGUGAGAUAACCUCGACGCCACCCAGUACUGGGGCGGGAGUACGGGAGUAUUGCCAUAACUCGUAUAACGGAUGGUUUUUCAAAGGUUGAGGUACGUGAUUUACGAAGGUGUCUUGGUUAUGUGUUGAAGGAUGGAUACAGCUGGAUGUAGGGAUUGUUUGUUUGGGUGAGAUAUUAUGCUUCCCCUGUAUCCCCAACACCUGAUUGCAUAACCAGAAAGUUUCAGGAGUUUAUAGGUGGGAAUUCAAGUAGCUCCUGGAAUAUCUUUCUAACAGAUGCAUGAUAUGGGAUUGGGUAAAUAUCUAUCAUAUGUAUUUGUUCUGGCUUAUUCUGCAAUCCAAUCCUUUGUUUUGUUUUGAGUUGUGGUAUUCGAGUUGCUUCAAUGUCAAGUGUUGAUUCCAUACCUUCCCUAAGAGGUGUUCUCAUAUUUCUAUGAGGAUGCUAAUCCUUCUUGAUCAUCAAGUUUGUCUUUUCAAUUCUAUCCCAACAUUGUUUGUUUCAUCCAUCCCACCCUUUUUCUUCAAGGACUCAGAUUUCGUAAUCAAGUAUCCAUUUUAUUGAUGGGAAGUUUCUCCAUUCUUUUCCGUCAAUGUUCUUAUCCGGUGAUUCUCAAGAAGAUACUAACGGAGCUUCAAGUUCAUCAGUCUUCAUUUUUUUUCUUUUCCGGUGGAUUCAAUUCAAGCUUCGGUGUUGAGCAUAUUCCUUUCAUUUGUCCAAUGCCUUCUCAUGUCGGUGCACCCCUGAAUCGUUCACCUCUCGCUAUUCAUUUGUUCUGGAGUGUUGAAGAUAUCUCGGAAGAUCCAUGUUUCCAUUCUUAAUCGAUUCAAGUUAUUUUGUGGUUGUUACCUCAUUCAAGCCAUUUAAAUCAACCGUUGCAAUCUCUCUUCAAAACCGUUCAACGAUGUAUCUUUUGAGUGUGCCCUAACCCACAUGUCUUUUCCCAGGAUCUUACCUGACUCUUCUUUUCCGGAGUUAUUCUCAAAUUCAUUUCAAAGUCUAACGUAAGAAUGAAUUAUCAUCAGUCAUAUGUCUUUCUCCAAGAUCUUUCGAAUUCUUGUCAUUGUUGAUUCAAACUUUCUAUUCUUCAUUAUUCCGGAGUGUCUCAACAAUUCAUAGUGGUGUUUCUCAGCAUCGUUCUCAACAUUUGAAGACCGAAGAAGAGUUCCUCUUAAAUUCUUACCCGUUCUUCCAAAGAUGCGAAGUUCAAGCUUGAUGCCAUCCUCUCAUAAUUGUUUGCGACUGUGAGAAUUCUUUUCACCCAUCCGGAGCAAUUUAGGAGUCUUUUUAGUUUGAUUCUCCGGAGCCCAUCAUCUCAGAAUUAUUCAUUCUAGCUUUCAGCUCUUGUUCUCCAAAUCUUACGGUGCAUCAUUCAAGUAUUGUCUAGUCAGUUCAUGAUCUCUUUGUUUCACUUGUAUCUAAAUUCUCUCAAGUAUCUUCAUUCAUUUUCCAAUUCCUCCUGACGAUGUGUUCGUUUUCUUCGCUCGUUCUUUUAAUCCUAACGGUGGUUCGUCCAACAUUCCUCUUCCCUCGUUAUCGUAUCAAUGCAUUCGUGCUUUCCAAAUCCUACCGGUGGUUCGUUGAAGAUCUUUCUCAAGUUUGUGCUAUAUCUAUCUUAAUCCUUUCUAUGAGAAUAAGUAGUAUGCCAAAUCCAUUGCUUGUCAUCAAUUUAAAUUGGUGAAGGAUACACAUAACAUAAUUCUUAUUCUUGCUUCAUCGAAAUGAUGGAUUCAUUCUUCCGGAGUUUGUUCACGAUGAGUAAAUUCUCAGUUCAAGUGCUUCAUACUUUCCCCGGAGUUCCAAGAUCUCUCAACUAUAUCACCAUGAAGAUUCAUCUAAAUCAUUGCAAGGAUUCACCUUGUGUUUUCAACUUCUCUUUCUUUCUAUCAUCCUUUUAUUACCGGAGUUCUUCAUGGAGGCUCUACAUGAUGGUUCAUCAAGGAUUUAAUUCCUUCUCGAAGUGUUCAUCGAGAUUCUUUUCAGAGGAGCUCAAGUAUUCUUUAUCUUGCAUUUCAAAGUUCAAUCCCUUCUCCCUUAUCUUUUGAGGUGGUGUUAUGUCAUUCUUGAUAAUUUCCCUUCAUGUUUCAUGAUUCACAAGUUAUCAAGAAUGAGGUAUUUUAAAUCCAUUAAUCACUUUGUUGGAGUUAUCUUGGGUUAUAUUUCACCUAAAGCCUUCCCUAAGGAAUGUUCGUAUUGUGGUGCUUAUCAAUAAUCCAAGUCUCCUCCUAUUCUCACAAUGAAAGAAGUUUUCAUCUCUUCGUUGCUCUGAAGCAAGCAAUUGAUUUCGUAAGUGGCAGAAUUUCACCUCAGUUUUGAGAUGUUUUCCAUAAGCCCACCACAAGCUUAUUCGGUUCAUUGUGGGUUUUUUUACAACAACUCCAUUCAAUCCUUCUUUCUAAGGAUGCUUUCAAACUCAUUUGUGGCAGAAGUUGGCAUUUCCUUCUCCAUUCUGUUAUUGCUAUGAUAUAUCUUCUAUUCUUCCUUCCGGAGGCGUUGUGAUGUUGAUCUCUUCACUCAUCUUCUCGGAUUGUGAGGAUUGUGUUCUUUUCGUGCUUGUCCAUUUAACCGGAGUGUUGUGUCCUCCAUUCAAGUCCUCUCAUCUUAUCAAGUUUUACCUCCCUUCUCAACCGGAGUGCUGUCUGAAAUCUUUCUUAUCCCUUGUGCCAUUCUUUCAAUAGUUCCGAAGGCAGUGUGUUGUCGAUUUCAUCAAGUAUUCACUCAUUUUGUAAAGUUCAUGUUCAAUUCCUUCCAUUUACAGUCGGAGUGCUUCCCAAAUUAUAUAAAUCGUAUUCCCUCGGUAUCUUUUUUUAACCGGAGUGGUUUUAAUAUAUAUCUGUCACUCAACUUCUUGGUUCUCGUCGUGUCCCAUGUUUCGCUUAUCUAACGGAGUGUUCGCAAUCUCGUUCAUCUCCAUUGUAUUCUUCUUUCAAUUGUUUAACCUCACAAGGUUCUUUGGUUUCACUCAUUUGCCAAGAAGCAUCUCCAUUGUAUUCCUCUUUAAAUUCUCUUCCUCUUUCGUUUCUCUCCGGUGCCAUCCUAGAUCUCGGGACGAGAUCCUCUCAUAGUGGUGGAGUGUUGUGACGCCCCGAGACCAAUGCGCCAGUUGUCUUCCAAUUAUUCGCUGUUGUUGCCUUGUCAUUCGCUUGCAUGUUGCAUCUUGCCAUGCCAUCAUGUGCAUUGCAUCAUCAUGUUUUCAAAACUUGCAUCCAUCCGGGUCUUCUAUUUCUCUUCGCUGUCUAUUCUGAGCCCAGACACACUUGCGCGCGCCCGCAGCACGUCUGAUAUAGUAUUUUAUAAGUGGCUGGAAAAUUUUCUAAGAAUAGGGUGAGAGUUGGCGUGCGGUCUUGUUAUAGUGUAGGUAGACCACCUCCCAAGUUUCAUCGCAUUCAGAGUCCGUUUGAUGCCCUAACGGAUAACUAUAGUGGCAGUAUAGCCGGUCUAUCGUCGCACGUUUUCGGUCUCCGGAAACAGUUGCUGGGCUGCACUCCUUCCCUCUCACCUUAGCCCAACCUUCUCUUUACAGCCCACCUAGGCCUGCUUAACCCCCCUCUCGUCUGGAGCCUUCUGAUUAUGAUCGGAGGGCCCCGAAACCCCUCCUAACCACUUGACCCCUCCAUGCACAGUGCUCAGACCCCUCGUGCGCGUCCGAGAGUUGUCCUGAACCCGACCCGGGCUAUUGUUACCGUUGGGUCCGGAUCAUCCCCAAACAUUCCUAAAACAUCUCCAUUUUCUUAUUUGGACUUCCUAACCUAUAUUUUUUCUUAGCCAUCCAAUUACGAUCGUAGGGUCGAGGUAGCCCCUAACCUAAUCCGUGAUGUAUUUAUAGUGCACCCCUAGUCCAUUUUGGCAAACCCUAAAAACCCUCUCCCUUGUCCCAUCCGUCCCAUCACCACCGCCACGCACUCACCAUCAUCCACGGAUCUACCCCGAUCCACCUGCCCAACCCACUUUCUCGUCCCUUCCUCGUUUUCAGCCACCACCAGUCCCGUGAUCCAUCCAUCCAUCGAUCCCCACCAACCCGCAGAUCCUCCCCACGGCUUCCAGAUCAAGAAAGCUCAAUCUCGACCAGCAGCCAGAGUCCAUGGCCUCCUCUGCUUCUUCUUGAGCACUUCCAUGGAGCCAGCCGUCCCCGCCGACGAUGAGAAGAAGCACACCAUGGAUGCCUCCCCAAGCUCCAGUUCACCUCGCCGCCGUUGGGAACCGGUGUCCCGCGGCCGGAUCCGUCAAGUCCGCGACCCUGCCUGACCUCCUUCCCAUUCAUGUCGCCGCCGAGCCUUCUUCUGCUUCCCCUACUGUAGGGCUCCAUCGCCCCUUCUUGUCUUCACCUCGCGCACCGCAUCGCCGCUCCUCCUGCGUCGUGCCGGCGAGCGCGAUGCCGGAGCACCGCAGGUCGCCGACGCGUCCCUCCUUUCACUCAUCUCCCCCGGAUUUUGCUGCCUCGCUAAUCGCUGCCACCUGCAGGAGCACCAUGGCUGCCUCGUCCCGGAGCAAGCUUGUCAGCAUCCUUCAUCGUCCUGUGUCUAGCGUCGCCCGGAUCCGUCCGCCUUCGCGCCACCCGCCCUUGCUGCUGAUGAACAUGGCGACUGGCGCCCUCCUUCGCGCGUGGCACCGCGCCAGAUGCCGCCCUCCGCUGCUGCCUCGCCGCUGUCCAGGCGUGCCGCAGCGCCCCUGCUUCCUUUAUAUCAAAGACGAGCGCGCCGCCCCGUGUCUCACCGCCCGAGCACCGCUGCCUGCCCUCGUCUCCGACGCCGGCAAGCUCGCUGCCCCCGGAUCCACGUCUCCAGCCUGAUCGUGCUCGUGCACGCUCGCCUCCACCGGUCGUCUACAAGCAGCAGCGCCAUUGCAGACAAGGUGAGGCACGCAGUUGCCUCGCGCGUCACUCCCAUUCCUCUAUGUUCUUCUCUCAUCUCGCCAUCUCUCUCUAUGUUGCCUCAGACCGAAGCCGCUCAAGAGCCGCCAUGUCCGCGUCCCCUUUGACCCUACAGGUGAAUGCCUUGCUGCCUUCUAUGUUCGCGUUGACCCCACAUCGAUCGAGCAGCCACGCCUAUAGAGAAAGCUAUCGUUGUUUCAGUUUUCAGUUUCGUCAGACCUGCACCAGGGUAUGGUUCAUCUUGCAUAUAAAAGCUAUGUUUGUCAAACUUCCAUUAUUUAGUGUGAGACGAAUUUAGCUCUUUUCAUGGCAUGCACUGGUCACUCGUGCAUCCAUCCAUCUAGGAGGUCCUGGGUUCGACUCCCAGCUCCACAUAUUUUUUUGCUUGGCCUUUUAUUUUUAGUGUGAGAUGAAUUUAGCUCUUUUCAUGGCAUGCAUAAUUUCAGUAAAUGCCAUCGUUUCAAAAUGCUAAUAACUCAAUGACCGUGCAUCGGACUAAAAUACUUUAUAUAUGAAAAAUGCUUAGAUUUUCAUCUAGUUUCAUAAUAUGCCACUUUCAUCUAUGUUAAAAAUGUUUAAAAUGUUGUUUGCAUUUAAUUUUCAUAAAUGCCAUGCUAAAAUGCUUUAUUUCAUAACUAAUUAACCGUAGCUCAGAAUUUAAUGAACUUUGCAUGUUUAGGGCAGAACAGUACCAAAUUCAUAAUAUGCAUAUGGGGAUUUUCCGGAAUUGUUGCUUGUUGUUUCCGGCCUCAUUUAAAUUGCCUAAAAUGUGUAGUUUACUCAUGUUUCACCUCUUUUCAUGUUUAACCACAUUUAAUAUUGUUGGGUACAUAAACGGGAGAGAACUAAAUAAGUCAUGUGGCGUUUCAUCGAUAUGCAACUCAUUGCAUAUUGAGCCCCACUUAAUUUGUAGUGUUGUUUGUUGCACUUUGCCAUGCCAUGCCUCAUUAAACCGGACAUGCAUCAUCCUUGGUUGUGCAUCAUGCCAUGUUUAUGCUUGUGUGUUUACUAUGUUUCUUGCUUCUUUCCGGAUUGCUUCUCUCGUUAGCUUCGGUUUUGUUCCGGAGUUGUGAGGAUCCAUUUGACUACGUCCGUUUGUCUUCUUCAUGGACUCGUUCUUCUUCCUUGCGGGAUCUCAGGCAAGAUGAUCAUACCCUCGGAAUCACUUCUAUCUUUGCUUGCUAGUUGUUCAUUCUAUCGCUAAGUCGCGCUACCUACCACUUGGUAUACCAUGGCUCCCAUAUUGCCAUGUCAAGCCUCUAACCCACCUUCCUAGCAAACCGUUGUUUGGCUAUGUUACCGCUUUUGCUCAGCCCCUCUUAUAGCGUUGUUAGUUGUAGGUGAAGCUGAAGUUUGUUCCAUGUUGGAACAUGGAUAUGUUAGGAUAUGACAAUAUAUCUUAUUUAAUUAAUGCAUCUAUAUACUUGGUAAAGGGUGGAAGGCUCGGCCUUAUGCCCGGUGUAUUGUUCCACUCUU